RNAcentral lists this ribosomal RNA (1241 nucleotides) under uncultured bacterium. Its description in RNAcentral is "bacterial SSU rRNA". It matches the Rfam family "Bacterial small subunit ribosomal RNA", at positions 253 to 1479 of the family's 1533-position model. The record is from RNAcentral.
CGGGUCAACGCGCCCACCAAUGGCGAUGCAUAGCAUAGCCGGCGGUCUUGAUGAGGCUAGAACGGCCACAUUGCGAGUACUUGAGACACUGGCCCAGACUCAUACGGGAGGCAGCAGUAGGGAAUUUUCGGCAAUGGGGUGAAACCCUGACCGAGCAACGCCGCGUGAGUGAUGAAGGUCUUCGGAUUGUAAAGCUCUGUUCGUCAAGGGAAGAAUGAACUUGGAUAGAAUCCGAUUGUGACGGUACCUUACCAGAAAGCUACGGCUAACUACGUGCCAGCAGCCGCGGUAAUACGUAGGUAGCGAGCGUUAUCCGGAAUUAUUGGGCGUAAAGGGUGCGUAGGCGGCUUGUUAAGUUUAACGGUGAACACGAAUGGGGCUCAACCCCAUUAAAGCCCUUAGAAUACUUGGCAAGCUAGAAGUACCUCGGAGAGGGUAGUGGAAUUCCAUGUGUAGCGGUAAAAUGCGUAGAUAUAUGGAGGAACACCGGUGGCGAAGGCGGCUACCUAGACAGAGACUGACGCUGAGGCACGAAAGCGUGGGGAGCAAAUAGGAUUAGAUACCCUAGUAGUCCACGCCGUAAACGAUGAAUGCUAGAUAUCGGGGCAACUCGGUGUCGAAACUAACGCGAUAAGCAUUCCGCCUGUGGAGUAUGCACGCAAGUGUGAAACAUAAAGGAAUUGACGGGGGCCCGCACAAGCGGUGGAGUAUGUGGUUUAAUUCGACGCAACGCGAAGAACCUUACCAGGCCUUGACAUCCCUUGCAAAACUCUAGAGAUAGAGCAGAGGUUAUCAAGGACAGGUGGUGCAUGGUUGUCGUCAGCUCGUGUCGUGAGAUGUUGGGUUAAGUCCCGCAACGAGCGCAACCCUUGUCUUCAGUUACCAUCAUUAAGUUGGGGACUCUGGAGAGACUGCCGGUGAUAAACCGGAGGAAGGUGGGGAUGACGUCAAAUCAUCAUGCCCCUUAUGGCCUGGGCUACACACGUACUACAAUGGCUGUUACAACGUGAAGCAACACUGUGAAGUGAAGCGAAUCACUAAAAGGCAGUCUCAGUUCGGAUUGAAGUCUGCAACUCGACUUCAUGAAGUUGGAAUCGCUAGUAAUCGCGGAUCAGCAUGCCGCGGUGAAUACGUUCUCGGGCCUUGUACACACCGCCCGUCAUACCAUGAGAGCUGGCAAUACCCGAAGCCGGUGGCCUAACCGCAAGGAAUGAAGCCGUCGAAGUAGGCUAGUGAUGGUC